This 492-nucleotide ribosomal RNA is filed under the name uncultured bacterium. Its description in RNAcentral is "partial 16S ribosomal RNA". It matches the Rfam family "Bacterial small subunit ribosomal RNA", at positions 29 to 507 of the family's 1533-position model. The record is from RNAcentral.
AGUGAACGCUGGCGGUAGGCCUAACACAUGCAAGUCGAACGGCAGCACAGUAAGAGCUUGCUCUUACGGGUGGCGAGUGGCGGACGGGUGAGGAAUACAUCGGAAUCUACUUUUUCGUGGGGGAUAAAGUAGGGAAACUUACGCUAAUACCGCAUACGACCUACGGGUGAAAGCAGGGGAUCUUCGGACCUUGCGCGAGUGAAUGAGCCGAUGUCGGAUUAGCUAGUUGGCGAGGUAAAGGCCCACCAAGGCGACGAUCCGUAGCUGGUCUGAGAGGAUGAUCAGCCACACUGGAACUGAGACACGCUCCAGACUCCUACGGGAGGCAACAGUGGGGAAUAUUGGACACUGGGCGCAAGCCUGAUCCAGCCAUACCGCGUGGGUGAAGAAGGCCUUCGGGUUGUAAAGCCCUUUUGUUGGGAAAGAAAAGCAGCGGGUUAAUACCCCGCUGUUCUGACGGUACCCAAAGAAUAAGCACCGGCUAACUUCGUG